This 69-nucleotide transfer RNA is filed under the name Megabeleses sp. Its description in RNAcentral is "tRNA-Tyr". It matches the Rfam family "tRNA". Rfam says of the family: Transfer RNA (tRNA) molecules are approximately 80 nucleotides in length. The record is from RNAcentral. Lineage: Eukaryota; Metazoa; Arthropoda; Insecta; Hymenoptera; Tenthredinidae.
AAUAAAAUGGCUGAAAGUAUAGGCGAUAAAUUGUAAAUUUAUUUAUGAAAAUCAAAUUUUCUUUUAUUA